GGGCCCGCACAAGCGGCGGAGCAUGCGGAUUAAUUCGAUGCAACGCGAAGAACCUUACCAAGGCUUGACAUAUAGAGGAAAAGUGCAGAAAUGCACUCCCCGCAAGGUCUCUAUACAGGUGGUGCAUGGUUGUCGUCAGCUCGUGUCGUGAGAUGUUGGGUUAAGUCCCGCAACGAGCGCAACCCUCGUCCUAUGUUGCCAGCACGUAAUGGUGGGAACUCAUGGGAUACUGCCGGGGUCAACUCGGAGGAAGGUGGGGAUGACGUCAAAUCAUCAUGCCCCUUAUGUCUUGGGCUUCACGCAUGCUACAAUGGCCGGUACAGAGGGCAGCAAUACCGUAAGGUGGAGCGAAUCCCACAAAGCCGGUCUCAGUUCGGAUUGAGGUCUGCAACUCGACCUCAUGAAGCUGGAAUCGCUAG
Molecule: ribosomal RNA, 419 nt
Filed under: uncultured bacterium
Lineage: Bacteria
Description: bacterial SSU rRNA
Rfam family: Bacterial small subunit ribosomal RNA
Source: RNAcentral